This 253-nucleotide ribosomal RNA is filed under the name uncultured bacterium. RNAcentral describes it as "partial 16S ribosomal RNA". It matches the Rfam family "Bacterial small subunit ribosomal RNA", at positions 524 to 776 of the family's 1533-position model. The record is from RNAcentral.
UACAGAGGUCUCGAGCGUUGUUCGGAUUCAUUGGGCGUAAAGGGUGUGUAGGUUGCGCGCUAAGUCGGGUGUGAAAUUUCGGAGCUUAACUCCGAAACUGCAUUCGAUACUGGCGUGCUUGAGGACUGGAGAGGAGACUGGAAUUUACGGUGUAGCAGUGAAAUGCGUAGAUAUCGUAAGGAAGACCAGUGGCGAAGGCGGGUCUCUGGACAGUUCCUGACACUGAGACACGAAGGCCAGGGGAGCAAACGGG